This is a long non-coding RNA of Bradysia coprophila, 372 nucleotides long. RefSeq lists it as uncharacterized. The record is from RefSeq and is a predicted model, not a curated record. Lineage: Eukaryota; Metazoa; Arthropoda; Insecta; Diptera; Sciaridae.
AUAAAAUUUCUCCUUGACUGUGUUUAGUUGUUUGAGGUCAAUAAAUGAAUCGUGUUUUAUACAACAGAGCUCCGUAAUUUUAAAGUUAAUUUAAGAAACUUCCUAAGAAAAUUAAGAGAAUGAAAGGAAUGAAACGGAUAUGGUUGAUUUUGAUGGUCAUUGCUGUUGCUUUCCAGGACUUUGUCGUGAGCAAUGCAGUCCGCAGUGAACCUGUGAGGUGUGGGCUAUUAAUGUGUCCGCCGAUUUUCUGUCCAUUUCCUAAACCAACUGUUCAGGACAACGGAUGUCCAGGCUGUGCAGAUUGUUAAUUAUGGGUAGACGGUGUGAUUGAGUGAAAUACAACCAAAUUUUAAUUGAAUCUUUGAGAGAAAA